GAUGAACGCUGGCGGCGUGCCUAAUACAUGCAAGUCGAGCGGUAAGGCCUCUUCGGAGGUACACGAGCGGCGGACGGCUGAGUAACACGUAGGAACGUACCCCAAAGUGAGGAAUAAGCGCCAGAAAUGGUGUCUAAUACCGCAUGUGCCCUAAGGAGUAAAGCUUCGGCGCUUUGGGAACGGCCUGCGCAUGAUUAGCUUGUUGGUGAGGUAAAAAGCUCACCAAGGCGACGAUCAUUAGCUGGUCUGAGAGGAUGAUCAGCCAGACUGGGACUGAGACACGGCCCAGACUCCUACGGGAGGCAGCAGUAGGGAAUUUUCCACAAUGGGCGAAAGCCUGAUGGAGCAACGCCGCGUGCAGGAUGAAUGCCUUCGGGUUGUAAACUGCUUUUAUAUGUGACGAUUAUGACGGUAGCAUAUGAAAAAGGAUCGGCUAACUCCGUGCCAGCAGCCGCGGUAA
Molecule: ribosomal RNA, 460 nt
Filed under: uncultured bacterium
Lineage: Bacteria
Description: partial 16S ribosomal RNA
Rfam family: Bacterial small subunit ribosomal RNA
Source: RNAcentral